RNAcentral lists this ribosomal RNA (374 nucleotides) under uncultured bacterium. RNAcentral's name for it is "bacterial SSU rRNA". It matches the Rfam family "Bacterial small subunit ribosomal RNA", at positions 527 to 898 of the family's 1533-position model. The record is from RNAcentral.
GUAGGGCGCAAGCGUUGUCCGGAAUUAUUGGGCGUAAAGAGCUCGUAGGCGGCUUGUCACGUCGGGUGUGAAAGCCCGGGGCUUAACCCCGGGUCUGCAUUCGAUACGGGCUAGCUAGAGUGUGGUAGGGGAGAUCGGAAUUCCUGGUGUAGCGGUGAAAUGCGCAGAUAUCAGGAGGAACACCGGUGGCGAAGGCGGAUCUCUGGGCCAUUACUGACGCUGAGGAGCGAAAGCGUGGGGAGCGAACAGGAUUAGAUACCCUGGUAGUCCACGCCGUAAACGGUGGGCACUAGGUGUUGGCGACAUUCCACGUCGUCGGUGCCGCAGCUAACGCAUUAAGUGCCCCGCCUGGGGAGUACGGCCGCAAGGCUAAA